UGCAGGGUAGUGUAAUGGUAAAACGCUGGACUCAUUAUCCAGAGAUUGAGGGUUCGACUCCCUCCCCUGAAACCA
This 75-nucleotide transfer RNA is filed under the name Bacillus sp. M6-12. RNAcentral describes it as "tRNA-Met". It matches the Rfam family "tRNA". Rfam says of the family: Transfer RNA (tRNA) molecules are approximately 80 nucleotides in length. Their secondary structure includes four short double-helical elements and three loops (D, anti-codon, and T loops). Further hydrogen bonds mediate the characteristic L-shaped molecular structure. tRNAs have two regions of fundamental functional importance: the anti-codon, which is responsible for specific mRNA codon recognition, and the 3' end, to which the tRNAs corresponding amino acid is attached (by aminoacyl-tRNA synthetases). tRNAs cope with the degeneracy of the genetic code in two manners: having more than one tRNA (with a specific anti-codon) for a particular amino acid; and 'wobble' base-pairing, i.e. permitting non-standard base-pairing at the 3rd anti-codon position. The record is from RNAcentral. Lineage: Bacteria; Bacillati; Bacillota; Bacilli; Caryophanales; Bacillaceae.